GUGCCAGCCGCCGCGGUAAGACAGAGGGUGCAAACGUUGUUCGGAAUUACUGGGCGUAAAGCGUGUGUAGGCGGCCAUGUAAGUUGGAUGUGAAAGCCCAGGGCUCAACCUUGGAAGUGCAUUCAAUACUGCGUGGCUUGAGUAUCGGAGAGGUUGGUGGAAUUCUCGGUGUAGAGGUGAAAUUCGUAGAUAUCGAGAGGAACACCGGUGGCGAAGGCGGCCAACUGGACGAAUACUGACGCUGAGACACGAAAGCGUGGGGAGCAAACAGGAUUAGAUACCCUGGUAGUCCACGCCUUAAACGAUGGAUGCUAGCCGUCAGCAAGCAUGCUUGUUGGUGGCGCAGCUAACGCAUUAAGUGAACCGCCUGGGGACUACGACCGCAAGGUUGGA
This 393-nucleotide ribosomal RNA is filed under the name uncultured bacterium. Its description in RNAcentral is "partial 16S ribosomal RNA". It matches the Rfam family "Bacterial small subunit ribosomal RNA", at positions 505 to 898 of the family's 1533-position model. The record is from RNAcentral.